This 509-nucleotide ribosomal RNA is filed under the name uncultured bacterium. RNAcentral's name for it is "bacterial SSU rRNA". It matches the Rfam family "Bacterial small subunit ribosomal RNA", at positions 29 to 517 of the family's 1533-position model. The record is from RNAcentral.
AACGAACGCUGGCGGCGUGCUUAACACAUGCAAGUCGAACGCGAAAGGGACUUCGGUCCUGAGUAAAGUGGCGCACGGGUGAGUAACGCGUAGAUAACCUGUCUUUGUGUCUGGAAUAAUACACCGAAAGGGGUACUAAUACCGGAUAUCCUUGCCUUUCAUAAGUUUUGCAAGAAAAGGUGGCCUCUGACAUAAGCUACUGCACAUAGAGGGGUCUGCGUACCAUUAGCUUGUAGGUGGGGUAAUGGCCUACCUAGGCGACGAUGGUUAGCGGGUCUGAGAGGAUGAUCCGCCACACUGGCACUGGAACACGGGCCAGACUCCUACGGGAGGCAGCAGUGAGGAAUAUUGCGCAAUGGGGGCAACCCUGACGCAGCGACGCCGCGUGAGUGAGGAAGGCCUUCGGGUCGUAAAGCUCUGUCAAAGGGAAAGAAAUGCAUAAUGGUUAAUACCUGUUAUGUUUGACGGUACCUUAAGUAAGACACGCUAACUCCGUGUCCAGCAGACCG